Small nucleolar RNA from Prosopis cineraria, 116 nucleotides. RefSeq annotates it as small nucleolar RNA Z278. Lineage: Eukaryota; Viridiplantae; Streptophyta; Magnoliopsida; Fabales; Fabaceae. The transcript has a single exon. The record is from RefSeq and is a predicted model, not a curated record.
ACCAAUGAUGUUACAAUCCAACUUGUCUGAGGUUGCAGUGUAUCCAAGUCCCUGUUUUUAGGGAGAACCUACUUGGUGUUGCUGCAUUCCAAUGGCAUCACAGGUUUAACUGAGGU